ACUGCUCAGUAACACGUGGACAACCUACCCUGAAGAGGGGGAUAACCCCGGGAAACUGGGGAUAAUACCCCAUAGGCUAUGGAUGCUGGAAUGCUCUGUAGUUGAAAGGUCCGCCGCUUCAGGAUGGGUCUGCGGCCAAUUAGGUUGUUGUUGGGGUAACGGCCCAACAAGCCUGUAAUCGGUACGGGUUGUGGGGGCAAGAGCCCGGAGAUGGAUUCUGAGACACGAAUCCAGGCCCUACGGGGCGCAGCAGGCGCGAAAACUUUGCAAUGCGAGCAAUCGUGACAAGGGAACUCCGAGUGCCUGUAAAAUCAGGCUGUCCGCCAGUGUAAAUAACUGGUGAAGAAAGGGCCGGGCAAGACCGGUGCCAGCCGCCGCGGUAAUACCGGCGGCUCGAGUGGUGGCCACUAUUACUGGGCUUAAAGCGUUCGUAGCUGGUCUGUUAAGUCUCUGGGGAAAUCUUCCGGCUUAACCGGAAGGCGUCUCAGGGAUACUGGCAGACUAGGGACCGGAAGAGGUGAGAGGUACUCCAGGGGUAGGAGUGAAAUCCUGUAAUCCUUGGGGGACCACCUGUGGCGAAGGCGUCUCACCAGAACGGCUCCGACAGUGAGGAACGAAAGCUGGGGGAGCAAACCGGAUUAGAUACCCGGGUAGUCCCAGCUGUAAACGAUGCGCGUUAGGUGUAUCGGUGACCACGAGUCACCGAGGUGCCGAAGAGAAAUCGUGAAACGUGCCGCCUGGGAAGUACGGUCGCAAGGCUGAAACUUAAAGGAAUUGGCGGGGGAGCAC
This 789-nucleotide ribosomal RNA is filed under the name uncultured archaeon. RNAcentral describes it as "bacterial SSU rRNA". It matches the Rfam family "Archaeal small subunit ribosomal RNA", at positions 85 to 879 of the family's 1478-position model. The record is from RNAcentral.